CUCUGCAUUAUCAAAAUUUAAUAAAAUAGUGAAUUAAUACAAUUUUAAAGUUUAUUUAAUCCGUGUGACACAUUUUCACAGGAGAUUCACAUCUGUAUUACCUCAUCUGUGAUGAAACUGACGUCCAAUCCGCGUAAACCUGACGUUUGAGAGACUGAGACUGACGUCCAAUCCGCGUGAAAGACUGGUUACGAGGCUUCAUUGUUUUCACAAUCAAAUGACUGAAUGUUAUCGUUCCAGGUAUAUAUAUAUAUAGAGUUCACUGCCAUUCACUCGUUCGAUCGCUUGUAAACCAUACAUUUGCCAUCGUUCGUUUUCGUUCAUCAUGAGGCAGUCAUGUUGUCUUUGACUAGGAUGACCGACUUGACAACCAUUACAGGAUUCCAC
Molecule: non-coding RNA, 387 nt
Organism: Paramuricea clavata
Lineage: Eukaryota; Metazoa; Cnidaria; Anthozoa; Malacalcyonacea; Plexauridae
Source: the annotation of a GenBank genome assembly